RNAcentral lists this ribosomal RNA (116 nucleotides) under Alphaproteobacteria bacterium. Lineage: Bacteria; Pseudomonadati; Pseudomonadota; Alphaproteobacteria. The record is from RNAcentral.
CUUGGUGGCCGUAGCGGGGGUCCCAGCACCCGAUCCCAUUCCGAACUCGGUAGUGAAAGCCCUAAGCGCCGAUGGUACUUCGUCUUAAGACGCGGGAGAGUAGGUCGCUGCCAAGC